This 1539-nucleotide long non-coding RNA is filed under the name Homo sapiens (human). RNAcentral describes it as "HSALNT0390172". Lineage: Eukaryota; Metazoa; Chordata; Mammalia; Primates; Hominidae. The record is from RNAcentral.
AGAAGAGAGAAAGCAGAUUGUCCUGAGCCCCAAGUGUCUGUGAUUCUCUUAGCUAAGUAAGGAAUCAGUGCCAGAGACAGAGGUUGCUGGAGCUGAGAGGAGACGUAGUCAAGAAGAUUGGAGAAGGCUCUGCGGAGAAGGUGAACUUGAGCUAAGACUUGAAGGGAGGGCAGGCUUGAAGGGAUGAAACAGCCUCCUCUGUGCUAAAGAGAGGAGUGACAGGGCCAUCAUCAGGCAAAGGGGACAUUACCAGGCAAAGGGACACCAUUGGUCAAAGGCGAUGGUGGAGACAAGACAUUCUGGAAGAGCCCGGAUCAGAGAGAUUUGGGGCCAGGAGCCGGCAUCAGGGGACCGGCUCCCUAAGGAACCAUGGCACCACUGGCUCUCAGCUGGAAAUAAGCAGCAGAUGAAGCACAUGCAUCCUGAGUUUUGGCUCUGGUGAUGGUGGUGGAGCUGUUAAUUCUUGGAGUCCAAAUUCCUGCACCACCUCUGAGUUCCGAGGGGGUGGGGAAGAGCAAGUGAUGGCUGGACAGCAAAGAGGAGUGGAGGCCGGGAGAAUGGGCAGCUAGCCCAGCGCUCUCCAAUAUCUGGGAGUCGACCGCACUCCUGCACUCCCUGUCAUCCCUGCUAAUGGUGAGGAACUGAGCAAAAGAGCCUCCAGAGUGACAGGUGACUUAAAGCGCACGUGGCUCUACAUUUACAAUUGAAGUGGGCUUUGGAGAUUGCAGAUUCUGAAUACCUGCUGGGGUGGUACAGAGGCUGUGUUCUGGUUUUGCCAUCUUGGACAGGGGGUUGGGAGUCUGGGGGGCUGCCUUCUCUCCUCUUCGUGCAGCUCUGCUGGGGCCUGUCUCACACUUGUGAGCAGAGUUAUGGCUGGAUUCCAGGGGAGACAGAGCUUGGUUGUGAAAUGUAAGGUUGUGAAAUGAAGGGCUUGUGAAAUGAACAAAGAAUGUAUUUAAGGGUCUUUCAUUUUAAAUCGAACACUUACAUAGCACUUACUACUUGCAAAGCUCCACUCUAAGCACUUUACCCAUCUUAAUUCAUUUAAUUCUCUUCUCAACCCUAAAAAGCAGGUAUUACCAUUGCUCCAAUCUUACAGAUGAGGAAACUCAGGCAUGGAGAGGUUGAGCGACUUGCCCAAAUUCAUGCAGUUAGGACCUGGCAGAGCUGCGCUUUGAACCCAGGCUGCCUGGCUCUAGAGUGUGUGCACGAAACUUCACUGCCAUAUGAACAAAACUGCAGGACAUAUGUUCUCAAAGCAAAUAAGCCUCCCAGAGAGGCUUUUCCUGAUGGCUUCAAGGACCUGCCCUAGCCUGGUCUGACUUCCCAGAGGGGAUCCAGUCCCAACAUUGGCCCUAUCUUUAGACCACAUUUCCAUCCCAUUCUCAGUGAAAACCCUGAGUCAUGACAGAAGACAACCAAUGCUGGAGAGAGGAGGUUUCAGGGGAUGCUGUCCUGAUCCAGGCUGGUGAGGCAAGGAGGGGCUGCGGCUUCCUGAGCUCUCCGAGCUGCUAAUGUGCGUGGGGAAUGCUAAGCAGC